RNAcentral lists this ribosomal RNA (274 nucleotides) under uncultured bacterium. RNAcentral describes it as "partial 16S ribosomal RNA". It matches the Rfam family "Bacterial small subunit ribosomal RNA", at positions 523 to 796 of the family's 1533-position model. The record is from RNAcentral.
AUACGGAGGGUGCAAGCGUUAUCCGGAAUCAUUGGGUUUAAAGGGUCCGUAGGCGGGCUAAUAAGUCAGGGGGGAAAUCCCACAGCUUAACUGUGGAACUGCCCUUGAUACUGUUGGUCUUGAGUUACAGUGAAGUGGUUAGAAUGUGUAGUGUAGCGGUGAAAUGCAUAGAGAUUACACAGAAUACCGAUUGCGAAGGCAGAUCACUAACUGUAUACUGACGCUAAUAGACGAAAGCGUGGGGAGCGAACAGGAUUAGAAACCCCAGUAGUCC